RNAcentral lists this unclassified non-coding RNA (377 nucleotides) under uncultured Parachlamydiaceae bacterium. RNAcentral describes it as "contains 16S-23S intergenic spacer region". Lineage: Bacteria; Pseudomonadati; Chlamydiota; Chlamydiia; Parachlamydiales; Parachlamydiaceae. The record is from RNAcentral.
UCCCGGUUAACCCGGGCAGUCUCAUUAGAGUUCCCACCUAAAAUGUUGGCAACUAAUGAUAAGGGUUGCGCUCGUUGCGGGACUUAACCCAACACCUCACGGCACGAGCUGACGACAGCCAUGCAGCACCUGUGCAGAAGCCCCGAAGGGAGAGUACGUUUCUGUACCUGUCUUCUGCAUGUCAAGCCUGGGUAAGGUUCUUCGCGUUGCAUCGAAUUAAACCACAUGCUCCACUGCUUGUGCGGGUCCCCGUCAAUUCUUUUGAGUUUCAGCCUUGCGACUGUACUCCCCAGGCGGUAUACUUAACGCGUUCGCUUCGGCACAGCCAGGGUUGAUUCCGGCUACACCUAGUAUACAUCGUUUACGGCAAGGACUAC